AGUAAAGGAAGCACAAGUCCAGGGGCCAGUUCACUCUUCUACCUGAAGCAGAGACAGCACCAGGAAUUCAAGGUCUCCUUGGGAGUCUCAUGUCCUUGCCAAGCCUUCGCCAGGCUCUCGCCACUGCCGUUCCUCUACCAGCCCAAGUCUACAUUCUGAGGCUCUAGGAACACGAGAGAGAACUCCAGUGCUCACAUCCCAUAUUGACCCUCUUUAUGUUCUUCAAUUACCACCUACCUGAAAAAGCCUCAAAGUCUCAGGGGAACAUUCUGGAGUCCCUGCUGCUGAAGAGGGUUUUUUGAGUUUUGGUCGUCUUCCAAAGUUUACUGUAUGAAGUCUUAGUGCUUCACUGGAGUUUGUCAUAUGUCUGGAUAAUAAAUAAGUUUCAAAAAUGUAACUAA
Molecule: long non-coding RNA, 401 nt
Organism: Homo sapiens (human)
Lineage: Eukaryota; Metazoa; Chordata; Mammalia; Primates; Hominidae
Source: Ensembl